RNAcentral lists this small RNA (2890 nucleotides) under Rattus norvegicus (Norway rat). RNAcentral's name for it is "uncharacterized LOC102554489". Lineage: Eukaryota; Metazoa; Chordata; Mammalia; Rodentia; Muridae. The record is from RNAcentral.
UCACCCUCUCUUCUUUCUUUCCUUCCCCUUUUCCUUUCUUUAAGACAGAUCUCAUGUCGCCCAGGCUGGCCUCAAUAUAUAGCCAAAAAUGACCUUGGACACCUGGUUCUCUGCUUCCACUUCUUGAGCUCUGAGAUUUCAGGCACAUAUUUCCAUUCCUAGUUUUGUGUGGUGCUGGGGCUUAAACUCUGGGCUUAAACCGACAAACAUUUGACAAACAUUCUACCUUCUGAACUAUAUCCCUGAUCCUACCAUUUUUCUUUUAUUAGGUAAACAAUAUGUAACAUGAAAUUAACAUUUUAGCCUUUUAUUUUGUUUUGUUUUGAGACAGGGUCUCACUCUGCAGUCUAGGCUGGCCUGGAGCUCACUGUAGCCCAGGCUGGCUUUGGAUUUGUGCCUGCCCUCCCACCUCAGCUUCCCCACAUGAAUCACCAAAUCCAGCACCAUUCAAAACAGUAGCACUAAAUACAACCCUGAUGCCACCUAACCAUCACCCCUCUCUUCAUUCCCAUCACCCCUGGACAGGAACGCUGUCCCCAUUCUUUUCAACCACGCCAUUUUGGAUAAGUUGCCAGUUUCUUCAUCUGUAAGUUGGGCUAAUCAUAUUAUCGACUGAAUAGGAUGAUGGUCAAGGUUAAAUGACGUCAUGCACGAAAGCUGCUUAGCACUGUGCCUGGAACUGUGACUUACUGAGUACACGCUGAGUGCUACUGCAGAAAAGAGCAAGAGAGAAGGACACAGACCUCUUAGCAUAGGGACAGUCUUGUAGCUGUGCAUGAUAGGAAGCAAUGACUGAAGAUGCUCUGAUUAGAGGGGGCUUGACAGGAACUAUUGCUGCUGGCAAAUAACAUCUCCUCCAGGUUUGUAGAAGCUCCCUGCCAGCCUCAGCAACACAUCUGGCGUGCCACAGAAACUCAAGACAUGCUUGAAUAAGGAAGGAGUGAAUGUACACUCGAACAUUUCAGUGUUCGGAGGGAGGACAGAAAUCAUAGAGUCUUAGCCAUCAGUUUAUCAACUUGAAAAGAUAGAGGCACCGGGAAGUCAAGUAGCAUGUCUAGGUUCCUCAGACAUAGACCUGGCUGAUAGACACAGUCAAGUUUCUGAAAUGUAUCUCAUCCUGUCAACUUAGAGCAACUCAGAAAAAUAUAAGGCUGACCCCAUGGUGCGUGCGAUGCCUAACUGAGAGUCCACACUUCCAUUGUUCUGCUCUGUUUGCAGUUUGAACCAGACUGCUGUAAAUAAUUGCUUUUUUUUAUUGAGGAGAGAAUAUUCCCUUCCAUUUUAGAGUCAAAGGUCAUACUGGCUGAGGGAAUCAUAGACAUCAACUUUUUAAGAGCUACAAUUAUUAAGGAAAAUAGAACUUAAAAAAAGGUUUAAGCAGCUCAUGUUUUUUAACCUUACCCAGCCCCAGUCUUCCUGAGUUGUUGUCGGGCAUGGAUAAUGGGAGUAGUAAGGCCUCAGGAUGCUGUGCUGGGGUAAGUGUUGCGAUAUCGAAUGUGGGCGUUGGGGUUGGUGAGUGCAUCUCAGUCAGCAUGUGAGAUCUCUGGCAUGGCCAUAAAGUAAAAUAAACCACAAACCCAUGGGUCACUUGCAUCACACCUGGUACAUGGAUGACAUUCAGCAAACACGCAGUCCGUGGACCGGGUGAGGCAAUGUUUUCAAGGCAAGCAUUUCCAGGUGAUGGGAGUACUUGAUAUUGUGGCCCAGAGAAAAACCUCAAGGGAGAGGACGGCCGUGAGGGCGAGGCGAUUUAUGGCCAACACAGACUGUUGUUUGCUGUUGUGCCCGAGUUGCAGUUAGUCCAAAAUAGCUCCCUAUGUUCACUGUAAACAGGGAGCUGUGUCCCAGUGACUUUCACACUGUAGCUGCAGCCUUUGGCUUCAUGCCCAGGGGUAUUGAAUCACUUGGCCGGAGGGCACCUAUCAUAUCCCCCAUCCCUGUAGAAUAAAGGAAUCUUGUGCUGGGGAUCUGGACCCUAGGUUCAAGACCUGUUUCUUAGUAACUCUGUAAUUUUAGGGUCGCAUCUCUCUGAACCUCAGAAAACGCGGCUGCUCUGACUCUUGCUCAGAAACACUGCGUUCUAUUUAUUUGCUGCAUUCACAGAUAAAUAUGUAUUUCUGCGCCAUGAAAAUCCCAACAGACUUCUUUCCAAGAUCCACUCCUAGGUCCUUGAGGCAGUUUCCAGGCUCCUAGGAAACCUAGCUGGACUCUUGGCAUGCAGAUGGUGAACAUCUCAGAAAGUUGCAGAAGCCCAUGGAGCUGUGUGAAGACUCUGCAUCCAUCCACCCUCCAGUUACCUUCAUGUUCCUUCCACGCAUCAUCACCACGUCUUUCAGAUGAGGGGGUAUCUUCUUCUGAGCUCUUCAGGGAAGAUGGCGUUGUUUAGUUCUCAAGCAAGUGGGAGUCAUGCACAGCUUGUCAGCAGACAGUGUCCACACAGUGCUGGAGACCUGGGAGUCCUGAAUCAUAGCCCUAGCAGUGUGUGUCAGAGGAAGGCCUCGUCCUGUUUCUGAAGGCCCUUUUCUUACAUGUUGGCGGAGAUGAACGAGCUUCUUGGGACCUCUUUUACAAGGACACCACCCUCAUUCAAGGGGGGAGAAUCAAUCCUCACGACCUGAUCCCCUCUCCAAGAUGGCCACACCAUCAUUUUUGGGGCUUGCUUUUACACACAGCAUGGUGUUUCUGGAGACUGGCUGGUCUUUGGUGUGCCCCUGCACCCAGCUGGGUGGCCUGGAAUUUCAUCCUUAGCACUGCUGAAAGAGAAAGACUUACUUUAGGUUCUGCUCCUCAGGAACCCUGGAGAAAACAUUUCCCUGAGGGGUUUGAGGUACAAAUUUGAAUGAUAUUUUGUAUCUGAGUGUUGGAUUAAAUAAUAAUUUUGGCAAAAUAA